Molecule: ribosomal RNA, 116 nt
Filed under: Chrysemys picta bellii (western painted turtle)
Lineage: Eukaryota; Metazoa; Chordata; Testudines; Emydidae
Source: RNAcentral
UUUUGCAGCCACACCACCCUUGGCUCAUCAGAUCUCAGAAGCUAAGCAGGAUCAGGCUUAGUUAGUGCUUGAAUGGGGGACAUACAAAUUUAGGAUGAACAUAAGAACAGCCAGAC